UACGGAGGGAGCUAGCGUUGUUCGGAAUUACUGGGCGUAAAGCGCACGUAGGCGGCUUUGUAAGUUAGAGGUGAAAGCCCGGGGCUCAACCCCGGAAUUGCCUUUAAGACUGCAUCGCUUGAAUCCGGGAGAGGUGAGUGGAAUUCCGAGUGUAGAGGUGAAAUUCGUAGAUAUUCGGAAGAACACCAGUGGCGAAGGCGGCUCACUGGACCGGUAUUGACGCUAAGGUGCGAAAGCGUGGGGAGCAAACAGG
RNAcentral lists this ribosomal RNA (253 nucleotides) under uncultured bacterium. RNAcentral describes it as "partial 16S ribosomal RNA". It matches the Rfam family "Bacterial small subunit ribosomal RNA", at positions 524 to 776 of the family's 1533-position model. The record is from RNAcentral.